UAAUCAACCACAGAAAAACCAUUAGAAAGCUCUCCUCCAGGGACAUAUUGUUGUUUUUUACUCAACCACUUAAGGAAUGAUCAGGGCCACAAAGUCAAGGAAGCAAUCACUCUUCUGUGACUAUUACGAAGAAUGAAAUGGAGUCUCUGGGCUCUUCCUCAACCAUUUGUACAGACAUAACCUCGAGAAAGGCUUCCCCAUCUCUGACCGGAAAAUUACAUUAGCGAGAGAGAAAAGAUUCCACAAAUGCCAAGGGGGCCAGAGGAUCUGCAGAAGGGAGGAGUGGGUCCACUCUCUAAGCUCGCGCAGUUGGUCAAGGCCACCACUCAAGUGCUCAAGGUUGUUGCAACAAGAAAUUCCUGUGCAACGUGAAGGCCUUUGACAGGCACUACAGUGCUGGACAAUGUGAAGGACAUGGGGACCAGCACUCCCAAGCAUGGCAAGGUGCCCAUCCUGGGGUGAAUCUCUGUGGCCAAGGUCUUAUCAAGCUGGCAGCCCCCGGAGUAGAACAUGCAAGGAACAAAUCCCAAAGAAGAGGAGCGGGUUAUGUCUAGAAAGAAAGAAGCUGCCAUGCAAUCAGAAUAGAACCCACUCAACCUGUACUGCUUACCAGAU
Non-coding RNA from Odocoileus virginianus texanus, 615 nucleotides. NCBI's taxonomy places the organism in Eukaryota, Metazoa, Chordata, Mammalia, Artiodactyla, Cervidae. The record is from RefSeq and is a predicted model, not a curated record.